UAAAGGUUUGGUCCUGACCUUACUAUCAACUUUAGCUAAACUUACACAUGCAAGUAUCCGCACCCCUGUGAGAAUGCCCUACAGUUCCCUGCUCGGGAACAAGGAGCCGGUAUCAGGCACACCCCAAAUACAAGCCCAUGACACCUUGCUUAGCCACACCCCCAAGGGAACUCAGCAGUGAUAAACAUUAGGCCAUAAGUGAAAACUUGACUUAGUUAAAGCUAAGAGGGUCGGUAAAACUCGUGCCAGCCACCGCGGUUAUACGAGAGACCCAAGUUGUUAGACACCGGCGUAAAGAGUGGUUAAGAUACCCCCCCCCCCACUAAAGCCGAACGCCCUCAGAGCUGUUAUACGCAUCCGAAGGUAAGAAGCCCGACCACGAAAGUGGCUUUAUAUUGUCCGAACCCACGAAAGCUAUGACACAAACUAGGAUUAGAUACCCUAUUAU
Molecule: ribosomal RNA, 448 nt
Filed under: Lutjanus campechanus (northern red snapper)
Lineage: Eukaryota; Metazoa; Chordata; Actinopteri; Lutjaniformes; Lutjanidae
Description: partial 12S ribosomal RNA
Rfam family: Bacterial small subunit ribosomal RNA
Source: RNAcentral